CAGGCGCCCGCCACCACGCCUGGCCAAUUUUUUUGUAUUUUUUUAGUAGAGACGGGGUUUCACCGUGUUAGCCAGGAUAGUCUUGAUCUUCUGACCUCGUGAGCCGCCUGUCUCAGCCUCCCAAAGGGCUGGGAUUACAGGCGUGAGCCACCGCGCCCGGCCGAUUUACCACUCUUGAUGUUCACCACCUGGCUGAGAAACCAAGAUCAAGAGCUUGAUGUGCUUGUUGAUACUGGAGUGUCAUUGAUUCUUGGCCCUGUCAACUGACCAGAUCAAGGAACUACAUGUGUAUAAGCUAAGGCACACCCACAUAAGGAUAGCACUAUAGCUACAAAUUCUCCAUUACCUGAAGAUAUAGGCUUUCAGCCGGGUGCAGUGGCUCACGCCUGUAAUCCCAGCCCUU
This 403-nucleotide long non-coding RNA is filed under the name Homo sapiens (human). RNAcentral's name for it is "HSALNT0011206". The record is from RNAcentral. Lineage: Eukaryota; Metazoa; Chordata; Mammalia; Primates; Hominidae.